GCACGAACGCUGGCGGCGUGCUUAACACAUGCAAGUCGAACGAUGAAGCCCUUCGGGGUGGAUUAGUGGCGAACGGGUGAGUAACACGUGGGCAAUCUGCCCUUCACUCUGGGACAAGCCCUGGAAACGGGGUCUAAUACCGGAUAACACCUGCCCGGGCAUCUGGGUGGGUUAAAAGCUCCGGCGGUGAAGGAUGAGCCCGCGGCCUAUCAGCUUGUUGGUGAGGUAGUGGCUCACCAAGGCGACGACGGGUAGCCGGCCUGAGAGGGCGACCGGCCACACUGGGACUGAGACACGGCCCAGACUCCUACGGGAGGCAGCAGUGGGGAAUAUUGCACAAUGGGCGAAAGCCUGAUGCAGCGACGCCGCGUGAGGGAUGACGGCCUUCGGGUUGUAAACCUCUUUCAGCAGGGAAGAAGCGAAAGUGACGGUACCUGCAGAAGAAGCGCCGGCUAACUACGUGCCAGCAGCCGCGGUAAUACGUAGGGCGCAAGCGUUGUCCGGAAUUAUUGGGCGUAAAGAGCUCGUAGGCGGCUUGUCACGUCGGGUGUGAAAGCCCGGGGCUUAACCCCGGGUCUGCAUUCGAUACGGGCUAGCUAGAGUGUGGUAGGGGAGAUCGGAAUUCCUGGUGUAGCGGUGAAAUGCGCAGAUAUCAGGAGGAACACCGGUGGCGAAGGCGGAUCUCUGGGCCAUUACUGACGCUGAGGAGCGAAAGCGUGGGGAGCGAACAGGAUUAGAUACCCUGGUAGUCCACGCCGUAAACGGUGGGAACUAGGUGUUGGCGACAUUCCACGUCGUCGGUGCCGCAGCUACGCAUUAAGUUCCCGCCUGGGGAGUCCGCCNCAGGCUAAACUCAANGNAUUGACGGGGGCCCCNCAACANNGANCUGGGGCUNAUUGACCACNCGAAAACUUNNAGNUUGAUANCCCGAACGNCAAAUGUCCCCCUNGGGCGGUCNGNGGCUGNUNCCCCNNGUCNGAAUNGGUAANCCCCNNCACNUUUUUUNCNAUCCUU
Molecule: ribosomal RNA, 1014 nt
Filed under: Streptomyces sp. LK1334.5
Lineage: Bacteria; Bacillati; Actinomycetota; Actinomycetes; Kitasatosporales; Streptomycetaceae
Description: partial 16S ribosomal RNA
Rfam family: Bacterial small subunit ribosomal RNA
Source: RNAcentral